UCCAAUCUUUUUAUCCAAAGUGACAUAAGCUCUUUGCAUCAGGCUGAAACAAUGUAAACAUUAUAUAUAAUUAGAUAAACAUAUAUUGAUACACAUAUAUCUUCGUACAUCUUGAUAAAAAAAUUAAAAUUCAAUUCAUUUCGAAAGCAAAUCAUAUAACGCUUUGAUAUUACAAAUAAUUGUAAGAUAAUGGAUGAAACAAAUUUACUUUGAUGUUCUCUCAUACACACUAAUAAAGUGAAUAAUAACAACUUUAUGAUUAUUUCUACGUAAGUUUAAACUAGGUUUAUAUUUUCCAAAAUCAUAUAAUGAUGCUCAUUCUAUUUAACAUGUUGGUUCAAGUAUUUCUCACUUCUCUUAAUCUAUAAGUUAGACUUUCCUCUUUGACCUUAGUUUUUUCUUUCAUUUACCAAAAACUAGUUAUAACUUCGACAAUCUAUCGUAUUGAAUAAGAAAAUACAUAAUUUUGAAGUUAUAUUGAUAUCAAUCACAAUCUAAUAUGAAAAAUUGUCCUUUAAUUUGUAUAUAUUGUCAGAUCCAAUCAAGAAUAAAAUGAUUACAUGAUUCAUAGCUAAACAAAAAUAAAAUUAAGAUUUACCUUAUAUCAAUCAAAAAUUGGGUGCGGAUGACUUUACGAUGUAGUGAGAAUUCAAACAAAUCCUGAAAUAUGUAAAACCAUUGAUUAAUUAAGUUUAACAACUUGCAAAAUAUAAAAUGAUCAAAUAAUAAUAUGAAUUUUAAAUUCUAGUAUGAAUCAUCAAACUCAUGUAGCAAAAUAUUACCUUUGUAUUCAAAUAAUUAAUUAUUAUUCAUCUAUUCCACUUUGCAAAGCCUAUAAUGAAAAAAAUAAUUAGCAAAAGCACAUAUACAAAAGAUGAACCAAAAAAAGAUGUAAAGAAGAGUGAAAGGCAAAAGGAGAGAGGAGAGGGGAAGGUGUAUGUU
Molecule: long non-coding RNA, 942 nt
Filed under: Solanum tuberosum (potato)
Lineage: Eukaryota; Viridiplantae; Streptophyta; Magnoliopsida; Solanales; Solanaceae
Description: long non-coding RNA (STUB_LNC001746)
Source: RNAcentral